GAUGAACGCUGACAGAAUGCUUAACACAUGCAAGUCUUUGGCGAAGCUGUGCUUGCACAGCCUAGCCAAGGCGGACGGGUGAGUAACGCGUAAGGAACUUGCCCUGCAGUCAGGGAUAACAGACGGAAACGACUGAUAAGACCUGGUAAAGUCAGGCGGACUCAUGUCCAGCCUGAUGAAAAGUGAUGCUGCAGGAGAGCCUUGCGCCCUAUUAGCUUGUUGGUGGGGUAACGGCCCACCAAGGCGAUGAUAGGUAGCCGGCCUGAGAGGGUGGACGGCCACAAGGGGACUGAGAUACGGCCCUUACUCCUACGGGAGGCAGCAGUGGGGAAUAUUGGACAAUGGGGGCAACCCUGAUCCAGCAAUUCUGUGUGCACGAUGAAGGUUUUCGGAUUGUAAAGUGCUUUCAGCAGGGAAGAAAAAAAUGACGGUACCUGCAGAAGAAGCGACGGCUAAAUACAUG
This 463-nucleotide ribosomal RNA is filed under the name uncultured bacterium. RNAcentral's name for it is "partial 16S ribosomal RNA". It matches the Rfam family "Bacterial small subunit ribosomal RNA", at positions 28 to 507 of the family's 1533-position model. The record is from RNAcentral.